This 499-nucleotide long non-coding RNA is filed under the name Setaria viridis. RNAcentral describes it as "long non-coding RNA (SVIR_LNC005252)". The record is from RNAcentral. Lineage: Eukaryota; Viridiplantae; Streptophyta; Magnoliopsida; Poales; Poaceae.
CACAUUAGUUCAUCUAUCAUCCAUCCAUGGAGAAGGUGAACACGCGGCUGGUCGUGGUGCUGUUACUGGGCGUGCUGCUGGCAGGGCAGGCGGCCGGCGCCGCGGAAGAAGCGUCGUCGCCGUCGCCGCAGUUGGGCGCAAGCAAGGCUGACUGCGAGGUCUCCGGCACCUGCGAGAUGAAGGCGACGCUCGGCGCCGCCGACCCCACCCGCCCCGGGGCGGUUGCCAACACGUACACCCGCGGCUGCAGUGCGAUCAACCAGUGCCGCGGCUGAUAUCGCCGUCGCCUGCCAACGCCGUGCACGUAUUGCCGCCGCUCCGUCGUCCAUGCAUGCGAACGAAGCUGACUGCUGGUGGUUGUUUCCUAUGUGUCUCGAUUUGUAUGUUAUGAACAUAUUACUACAUCGUGCUAUGAAUAUACUUUGUGAUGAUGUACAUGUACAGGUGUACCACCAUCUAAUUUAGUGUAUUAAGGAUCGGACUUAAUAAAGGUCGGGCC